AUUGAACGCUGGCGGCAGGCCUAACACAUGCAAGUCGAGCGGAUGAAGGGAGCUUGCUCCUGGAUUCAGCGGCGGACGGGUGAGUAAUGCCUAGGAAUCUGCCUGGUAGUGGGGGAUAACGUCCGGAAACGGGCGCUAAUACCGCAUACGUCCUGAGGGAGAAAGUGGGGGAUCUUCGGACCUCACGCUAUCAGAUGAGCCUAGGUCGGAUUAGCUAGUUGGUGGGGUAAAGGCCUACCAAGGCGACGAUCCGUAACUGGUCUGAGAGGAUGAUCAGUCACACUGGAACUGGGACACGGUCCAGACUCCUGCGGGAGGCAGCAGUGGGGAAUAUUGGACAAUAGGCGAAAGCCUGAUCCAGCCAUGCCGCGUGUGUGAAGAAGGUCUUCGGAUUGUAAAGCACUUUAAGUUGGGAGGAAGGGCAGUAAGUUAAUACCUUGCUGUUUUGACGUUACCAGCAGAAUAAGCACCGGCUAACUUCGUG
RNAcentral lists this ribosomal RNA (484 nucleotides) under uncultured bacterium. Its description in RNAcentral is "partial 16S ribosomal RNA". It matches the Rfam family "Bacterial small subunit ribosomal RNA", at positions 30 to 507 of the family's 1533-position model. The record is from RNAcentral.